UGACGAAGGGGGCUAGCGUUGCUCGGGAAUCACUGGGCGUAAGGGCGCGUUAGGCGGCGUUUUAAGUCGGGGUGAAAGCCUGUGGCUCAACCACAGAAUGGCCUUCGAUACUGGGACGCUUGAGUAUGGUAGAGGUUGGUGGAACUGCGAGUGUAGAGGUGAAAUUCGUAGAUAUUCGCAAGAACACCGGUGGCGAAGGCGGCCAACUGGACCAUUACUGACGCUGAGGCGCGAAAGCGUGGGGAGCAAACAGG
Molecule: ribosomal RNA, 254 nt
Filed under: uncultured bacterium
Lineage: Bacteria
Description: partial 16S ribosomal RNA
Rfam family: Bacterial small subunit ribosomal RNA
Source: RNAcentral